This 317-nucleotide long non-coding RNA is filed under the name Oryzias javanicus (javanese ricefish). Its description in RNAcentral is "lncRNA (ENSOJAG00000010302.1)". Lineage: Eukaryota; Metazoa; Chordata; Actinopteri; Beloniformes; Adrianichthyidae. The record is from RNAcentral.
UGAGAUGUCACUUAACAAAUCGAUAAUAUUUAAAGUCAUCGAGCAGUUAUAGUUCAAUUUUUAGUCAGAUAAAACAUUCUGACGUUGCUGGUAAAUCGUUUUUGCUUGGGACUCAGCAGAACCCGGAGGAUCACCUGCAGACAGAUUCCGUCAUCCACCCUCGCUCACACACAGAGAAGCUGCUGAAUCCAAAUGUGUCGGACAAAGCGGCUGGAGGGAAAACAAUUCUCAACAUGAAAUAUUUAUGCUGUAUUCAGCAGAAAAAUGUCACGACCACCUUUCAUGAUCCACGAUGAAAAAUGCAUGUGCCGUUUCAC